UGUCAGACAUGAGAGAAGCUGGAGAUGCUCAGCCCUAAAGGAAGGAGGCAAAGGCUUCCAGCCAAGAUGUCUUUGAAGUACACAUUUGGAUUACAGGAUAGUCCAGCCCAAUUCUGCCUCCAUAAAUCAACCACAAAGGUUCAACUCUGGAAUGAAAAGAGGAUCUGGAAAAUCAAAUAUUGUCAUGAAAG
Molecule: long non-coding RNA, 191 nt
Organism: Lonchura striata (white-rumped munia)
Lineage: Eukaryota; Metazoa; Chordata; Aves; Passeriformes; Estrildidae
Source: RefSeq, a predicted model, not a curated record